GACGAACGCUGGCGGCGUGCUUAACACAUGCAAGUCGAACGAUGAACCCGGAGCUUGCUCCGGUGGAUUAGUGGCGAACAGGUGAGUAACACGUGAGUAACCUGCCCUUGACUCUGGGAUAACUGCGGGAAACUGUAGCUAAUACCGGAUACGACCCUCGGCGGCAUCGCCAGGGGGUGGAAAGAAUUUCGGUCAAGGAUGGACUCGCGGCCUAUCAGCUAGUUGGUGAGGUAACGGCUCACCAAGGCGACGACGGGUAGCCGGCCUGAGAGGGUGACCGGCCACACUGGGACUGAGACACGGCCCAGACUCCUACGGGAGGCAGCAGUGGGGAAUAUUGCACAAUGGGCGCAAGCCUGAUGCAGCAACGCCGCGUGAGGGAUGACGGCCUUCGGGUUGUAAAGCUCUUUUACCCGGGAUGAUAAUGACGGUACCCGGAGAAGAAGCCCCGGCUAACUUCGUGCCAGCCGCCGCGGUAA
Molecule: ribosomal RNA, 479 nt
Filed under: uncultured bacterium
Lineage: Bacteria
Description: partial 16S ribosomal RNA
Rfam family: Bacterial small subunit ribosomal RNA
Source: RNAcentral